RNAcentral lists this ribosomal RNA (301 nucleotides) under uncultured bacterium. RNAcentral describes it as "partial 16S ribosomal RNA". It matches the Rfam family "Bacterial small subunit ribosomal RNA", at positions 512 to 808 of the family's 1533-position model. The record is from RNAcentral.
CAGCCGCCCGGGAAUACAGAGGGUGCGAGCGUUAAUCGGAUUUACUGGGCGUAAAGCGUGCGUAGGCGGCUUCUUAAGUCGGAUGUGAAAUCCCUGAGCUUAACUUAGGAAUUGCAUUCGAUACUGGGAAGCUAGAGUAUGGGAGAGGAUGGUAGAAUUCCAGGUGUAGCGGUGAAAUGCGUAGAGAUCUGGAGGAAUACCGAUGGCGAAGGCAGCCAUCUGGCCUAAUACUGACGCUGAGGUACGAAAGCAUGGGGAGCAAACAGGAUUAGAUACCCGAGUAGUCCCUGUCUCUUAUACA